RNAcentral lists this ribosomal RNA (1031 nucleotides) under uncultured bacterium. RNAcentral's name for it is "bacterial SSU rRNA". It matches the Rfam family "Bacterial small subunit ribosomal RNA", at positions 1 to 993 of the family's 1533-position model. The record is from RNAcentral.
UUAGAGUUUGAUCAUGGCUCAGGACGAACGCUGGCGGCGUGCCUAAUACAUGCAAGUCGAACGCGUCCCGGUUGAUGAGGUUGAGUGCUUGCACUUGAUUGAUUCAACUUGGUGACGAGUGGCGAACUGGUGAGUAACACGUGGGUAACCUGCCCCGAAGCGGGGGAUAACAUUUGGAAACAGGUGCUAAUACCGCAUAACAACCAAAACCUCCUGGUUUUGGUUUAAAAGACGGCUUCGGCUGUCACUUUGGGAUGGACCCGCGGCGUAUUAGCUAGUUGGUGAGGUAACGGCUCACCAAGGCGAUGAUACGUAGCCGACCUGAGAGGGUAAUCGGCCACAUUGGGACUGAGACACGGCCCAAACUCCUACGGGAGGCAGCAGUAGGGAAUCUUCCACAAUGGACGCAAGUCUGAUGGAGCAACGCCGCGUGAGUGAUGAAGGGUUUCGGCUCGUAAAACUCUGUUGUUGGAGAAGAACGGGUGUCAGAGUAACUGUUGACAUCGUGACGGUAUCCAACCAGAAAGCCACGGCUAACUACGUGCCAGCAGCCGCGGUAAUACGUAGGUGGCAAGCGUUGUCCGGAUUUAUUGGGCGUAAAGCGAGCGCAGGCGGUUUUUUAGGUCUGAUGUGAAAGCCUUCGGCUUAACCGGAGAAGUGCAUCGGAAACCGGGAGACUUGAGUGCGGAAGAGGACAGUGGAACUCCAUGUGUAGCGGUGAAAUGCGUAGAUAUAUGGAAGAACACCAGUGGCGAAGGCGGCUGUCUGGUCUGCAACUGACGCUGAGGCUCGAAAGCAUGGGUAGCGAACAGGAUUAGAUACCCUGGUAGUCCAUGCCGUAAACGAUGAGUGCUAAGUGUUGGAAGGUUUCCGCCCUUCAGUGCUGCAGCUAACGCAUUAAGCACUCCGCCUGGGGAGUACGACCGCAAGGUUGAAACUCAAAGGAAUUGACGGGGGCCCGCACAAGCGGUGGAACAUGUGGUUUAAUUCGAUGCUACGCGAAAAACCUUACCAGGUCUUGACAUCUUCUG